This 1542-nucleotide ribosomal RNA is filed under the name Salmonella enterica subsp. enterica serovar Brandenburg. RNAcentral's name for it is "bacterial SSU rRNA". It matches the Rfam family "Bacterial small subunit ribosomal RNA". The record is from RNAcentral. Lineage: Bacteria; Pseudomonadati; Pseudomonadota; Gammaproteobacteria; Enterobacterales; Enterobacteriaceae.
AAAUUGAAGAGUUUGAUCAUGGCUCAGAUUGAACGCUGGCGGCAGGCCUAACACAUGCAAGUCGAACGGUAACAGGAAGCAGCUUGCUGCUUUGCUGACGAGUGGCGGACGGGUGAGUAAUGUCUGGGAAACUGCCUGAUGGAGGGGGAUAACUACUGGAAACGGUGGCUAAUACCGCAUAAUGUCGCAAGACCAAAGAGGGGGACCUUCGGGCCUCUUGCCAUCAGAUGUGCCCAGAUGGGAUUAGCUUGUUGGUGAGGUAACGGCUCACCAAGGCGACGAUCCCUAGCUGGUCUGAGAGGAUGACCAGCCACACUGGAACUGAGACACGGUCCAGACUCCUACGGGAGGCAGCAGUGGGGAAUAUUGCACAAUGGGCGCAAGCCUGAUGCAGCCAUGCCGCGUGUAUGAAGAAGGCCUUCGGGUUGUAAAGUACUUUCAGCGGGGAGGAAGGUGUUGUGGUUAAUAACCGCAGCAAUUGACGUUACCCGCAGAAGAAGCACCGGCUAACUCCGUGCCAGCAGCCGCGGUAAUACGGAGGGUGCAAGCGUUAAUCGGAAUUACUGGGCGUAAAGCGCACGCAGGCGGUCUGUCAAGUCGGAUGUGAAAUCCCCGGGCUCAACCUGGGAACUGCAUUCGAAACUGGCAGGCUUGAGUCUUGUAGAGGGGGGUAGAAUUCCAGGUGUAGCGGUGAAAUGCGUAGAGAUCUGGAGGAAUACCGGUGGCGAAGGCGGCCCCCUGGACAAAGACUGACGCUCAGGUGCGAAAGCGUGGGGAGCAAACAGGAUUAGAUACCCUGGUAGUCCACGCCGUAAACGAUGUCUACUUGGAGGUUGUGCCCUUGAGGCGUGGCUUCCGGAGCUAACGCGUUAAGUAGACCGCCUGGGGAGUACGGCCGCAAGGUUAAAACUCAAAUGAAUUGACGGGGGCCCGCACAAGCGGUGGAGCAUGUGGUUUAAUUCGAUGCAACGCGAAGAACCUUACCUGGUCUUGACAUCCACGGAAGAAUUCAGAGAUGGAUUUGUGCCUUCGGGAACCGUGAGACAGGUGCUGCAUGGCUGUCGUCAGCUCGUGUUGUGAAAUGUUGGGUUAAGUCCCGCAACGAGCGCAACCCUUAUCCUUUGUUGCCAGCGGUCCGGCCGGGAACUCAAAGGAGACUGACAGUGAUAAACUGGAGGAAGGUGGGGAUGACGUCAAGUCAUCAUGGCCCUUACGACCAGGGCUACACACGUGCUACAAUGGCGCAUACAAAGAGAAGCGACCUCGCGAGAGCAAGCGGACCUCAUAAAGUGCGUCGUAGUCCGGAUUGGAGUCUGCAACUCGACUCCAUGAAGUCGGAAUCGCUAGUAAUCGUGGAUCAGAAUGCCACGGUGAAUACGUUCCCGGGCCUUGUACACACCGCCCGUCACACCAUGGGAGUGGGUUGCAAAAGAAGUAGGUAGCUUAACCUUCGGGAGGGCGCUUACCACUUUGUGAUUCAUGACUGGGGUGAAGUCGUAACAAGGUAACCGUAGGGGAACCUGCGGUUGGAUCACCUCCUUA